UAGAAUUUGGAUUUUUCUUCUUCGUAGAGUUUUGGGAAGACUGAGGCAAUCGUUGCUGAAGUCAGUGUUGUAAUGGUGAAUCGGGAUUUUUAAAUGAAGUGGGUUUGAAUACUCUUGACUGUUUUGUAAAAUCGAGUUACGUCUGUGAUUGAAGGAUUAAAGGGGUGUCUAUAGGAUUGAAUAUGCGGAGUGAAUGAAAUUUAUUGGGUUAAUCUAACAGGACAGUCAGUGGAUACAAGAUCGUAAGUACAAAGGGAUAUUGAAGAUUAACAGUUU
RNAcentral lists this long non-coding RNA (276 nucleotides) under Physcomitrium patens. Its description in RNAcentral is "long non-coding RNA (PPAT_LNC010449)". Lineage: Eukaryota; Viridiplantae; Streptophyta; Bryopsida; Funariales; Funariaceae. The record is from RNAcentral.